GUGUCUUGUUUGGUUUAUUUAAGUCAUUGCAGAUAUGGAAUCGGUUGUAUAUAGAGUGGCGGUGGUACAUAUGCUUGAUUAUCUUUGUUAUCAUUCACUGCUUCCUUAUCUUUAAUAUCUUUAUUUCUUUGUUUUUCAUAUCCUAUGGGUUCCUCUUUUUGUUCUUCUGGAGUAGUCACAACAUUUUCUUUUGGUGGUUCUGGAAUUUUAGGCCCAUCAUAUUGAGUUCCGCUUCACAGCAAAAU
RNAcentral lists this long non-coding RNA (245 nucleotides) under Lathyrus oleraceus (garden pea). Its description in RNAcentral is "Pisum sativum (pea) long non-coding RNA (PSAT_LNC027292)". The record is from RNAcentral. Lineage: Eukaryota; Viridiplantae; Streptophyta; Magnoliopsida; Fabales; Fabaceae.